AAAACAGCAAUGACCGGGUAAGUAUAUCGGUCUCGAAAGCCCAGAGAGGGAGCGGCGGCGGACAACAGGCCCGCCAUGGUGUGAGCUCCCGUGCAGGACCGGUAGAAAGUCGCUCGUGAGCUGCUCUGCUGAACGUCCAUAGCCGGGUCAGUAGGCCGAGACGGUUCCCCUCCGUUAGCGGGGUCGAAAGCGCGCGGGCCCCGGCCCGCGAAUUUAGGUGGUACCACGGAGCAUGCCUUCGUCCUAUAG
RNAcentral lists this non-coding RNA (249 nucleotides) under Intestinimonas butyriciproducens. RNAcentral describes it as "T-box sequence". It matches the Rfam family "T-box leader". Rfam says of the family: Uncharged tRNA acts as the effector for transcription antitermination of genes in the T-box leader family. Lineage: Bacteria; Bacillati; Bacillota; Clostridia; Eubacteriales. The record is from RNAcentral.